GAAGAUGGUGCGAUGAUCGCUUGAGUAAUCAAGAGGAAAGUCCGGGCUCCUCUGGAAAAAAAACCAGGUAACACCUGGCAAGUGUGAGCUUAGGGAAAGUGCAACAGAAAAUAUACCGCCUUUUGAAAAAUUGGUAAGGUUGAAAUGGUGAGGUAAGAGCUUACCGCUUUGUUGGUAACAAUAAAGGCAGUGCAAACCCUUUUUGGAGUAAGGCCAAGUAGGAAUAACAAUCAGUUUCCAGCUGAGUUAUUCGGGUAGGCCGCUUGAGAUAAUUGGCAACAAUUAUCCUAGAUUAAUGAUCAUCAUUUUACUUAGUAAUUUACAGAACCCGGCUUAUGCAUCAUCUGUAAAA
Molecule: RNase P RNA, 352 nt
Filed under: Alphaproteobacteria bacterium
Lineage: Bacteria; Pseudomonadati; Pseudomonadota; Alphaproteobacteria
Description: RNase P RNA component class A
Rfam family: Bacterial RNase P class A
About the family: Ribonuclease P (RNase P) is a ubiquitous endoribonuclease, found in archaea, bacteria and eukarya as well as chloroplasts and mitochondria. Its best characterised activity is the generation of mature 5'-ends of tRNAs by cleaving the 5'-leader elements of precursor-tRNAs.
Source: RNAcentral